AAUCAACGCUGGCGGCGUGCCUAACACAUGCAAGUCGAACGCGAAAGUUCCUUCGGGGAUGAGUAGAGUGGCGUCCGGGUGAGUAACGCGUGGGUAAUCUACCUUCGGGUGGGGAAUAACCAGUCGAAAGGCUGGCUAAUACCGCAUAAUGCAGCGGCACGACAUCGUGACAGUUGUUAAAGGAGCAAUCCGCCUGAAGAGGAGCCUGCGUCUGAUUAGCUAGUUGGUAAGGUAAUGGCUUACCAAGGCUACGAUCUGUAUCCGGUCUAAGAGGACGGUCGGACACACUGACACUGAAUAACGGGUCAGACUCCUACGGGAGGCAGCAGUCGGGAAUUUUGGGCAAUGGGCGAAAGCCUGACCCAGCAACGCCGCGUGAAGGAUGAAGUAUUUCGGUAUGUAAACUUCGAAAGAAUAGGAAGAAUAAAUGACGGUACUAUUUAUAAGCUCCGGCUAACUACGUG
RNAcentral lists this ribosomal RNA (464 nucleotides) under uncultured bacterium. RNAcentral's name for it is "bacterial SSU rRNA". It matches the Rfam family "Bacterial small subunit ribosomal RNA", at positions 32 to 507 of the family's 1533-position model. The record is from RNAcentral.